RNA transcript from Chiroxiphia lanceolata (lance-tailed manakin), 3380 nucleotides. It is a transcript of the gene named protocadherin beta-15-like, with no coding region annotated. The transcript has 3 exons. The record is from RefSeq and is a predicted model, not a curated record. NCBI's taxonomy places the organism in Eukaryota, Metazoa, Chordata, Aves, Passeriformes, Pipridae.
ACCGACCGGAAUAGAGAGGGAGAAAGAAGGGAACCCGACCGCUGCCGCUUUCGGCGGGGACUACGCGAGAGAUCCGCGAGAAGGAGAUCGGACACCGCCGCCGCCGCCGCCGCCGGAGGAGGGCCAUGGCGAUGGCAAGGCAAGUGCUUUGUGUGUGUGCUUUGCUGUCCGUGCCGCUCGCUCGCUCGCAGCCCAUCCGCUACUCCGUGGCCGAGGAGGCGGACAGCGGCUCCCUGGUCGGCAACCUGGCGCAGGACGCGGCGCUGCCGCCGGCGCAGCUCUCGGCUCGCCGCGCCCGCCUGCUGCCCGAGGACGGCCGGCAGCACUUUCGCCUCGACCGCGACAGCGGCCGCCUCGUCGUGGCCGACAGGCUCGACCGGGAGCAGCUGUGCGCCCAGUCCCACACCUGCACGCUCGCCUUCGAGCUGCUGCUGGCCGACCCGCUGCAGUUCUUUCGGGUCGAGGUGGCCCUGCAAGACAUCAAUGACCAUUCGCCCGUUUUCCCUGCUGAACGAGUCACUUUUAAGAUCCCCGAAACGAGCGAGCCUGGUUCUCGUUUCCCUCUGGAGAGGGCUUGGGACCUUGAUAUUGGCAGCAACAGUAUUCAGGCAUACAACAUCUCUCCCGAGAACCAGUACUUUAGUGUCUCCUAUGGGAGCCUGAUUAGGGGCAAGAAGUCUGUUGAACUUGUAUUGGAAAAUCCUCUAGACAGAGAGGAGCAGGCAGAGAUGCAUUUCAGUCUCAUUGCUGUGGAUGGGGGCUCUCCUCCCAGAAGUGGGACCACCCAAAUUCACAUUGUAAUUCUGGAUGCCAAUGACAAUGCUCCCGUCUUCACACAGGAGGUGUAUGAUGUGCAGGUUUUGGAAAAUGCACCAAAAGGCUCUGUGGUUCUGACUGUGCUGGCAACUGAUCGAGAUGUUGGAGUUAAUGGAGACAUCUCCUAUCAGUUCAGCGAAGUAGUCAGCCAAAGGGACUCAGCAUUUGAGAUUGAUCCCAUAACAGGUGAAAUUAAACUCACAAAGCCACUGGACUUCGAGGCAGCAGAGACUCACGAACUCAGUGUGAGGGCCACAGAUGGAGGGGGACUUUCAGCAAUCUGCAGGGUGUUGGUGCAGGUGUUGGAUGUGAAUGACAACGCCCCGGAGCUGGAGGUCAGUUCCUUCAGCAGUCCCCUCCCCGAGAACUCAGCGCCCGGCACGGUCGUUGCCCUCUUCACUGUCCGGGACCGCGAUGCCGGGGCCAACGGCAAGGUCUCGUGUGCCCUGGACGAUCAGCUCGUCUUCUCCCUGCGCCCAGCCUACAAGAAUUACUACGAGCUGGUGACCGUGAGUGCCCUGGACCGCGAGGAGACGGCUCAGUACAUGCUGACGGUGACAGCGGCAGACGCGGGCUCCCCUCCUCUGACGAGCAGCCACACCUUCACCGUGGCCAUCUCGGACGUCAAUGACAACGCCCCUGUCUUCAGCCAGACCUCGUACACCAUGUACGUGCGGGAGAACAAUGUCCCCGGCGUGCUGGUCGGAGCCGUGAGCGCUGCAGAUGCCGACGUGGGGCUCAACGCCAAGGUGAGCUAUUCGCUGUCAGCGGGGCAAGCGGCGGAGCGGCCUCGGUGCUCGUGCCUGUCGGUGAACUCGGAGAACGGGCAGGUGUUUGUGCUGCGAGGCCUGGACUACGAGCAGCUGAGGCAGAGCGAGGUGGUGGUGAGCGCCUCUGACGCGGGCUCUCCUCCCCUGCGAGCCAACGUCACCGUCCGCCUGCUGGUGCUGGACGAGAACGACAACGCCCCGCUCGUGCUGUACCCGGCGCACGACAGCGGCCCGGCCUCCAGCGAGCUGGUGCCCGUGUCGGCUGAGGCGGGCUACCUCGUCUCCAAAGUGGUGGCCGUCGAUGCCGACUCGGGACAGAACUCGUGGCUCUCCUACCACCUGCUCAGGGCCACCGACCCCGGGCUCUUUGCCGUGGCCGCCCAAAGCGGCGAGGUCAGGCUCAGGAGGCCGCUGACAGACAGAGACAGCGUCAAGCACAAGCUCGUCGUCCUGGUGCGAGACAACGGCCGCCCACCCCUCUCAGCCACCGCCGCUCUCAGCGCACUCCUGCUCAAGGACUUCUCCGACCUGCGCCAACCGCACAGCAGCCCGGCCACCGACGACCAGCCCGGCUCCCUCACCACCUACUUGAUCCUCGCCUUGCUCUUCGUCUCCCUGCUCUUCCUCGGCUCCACGGCAGCCUUCGUGGCUCGCAGGCUGUGCAAGAGAAAGGAGCUGAAGGCUGGCCACGUGCUUUACGGGGCCGACAACUUGCCCAGCGGCCUGGCCGAGGCAGCUGCUGCAGGGACCCUGCCCCACCCCUACUGCUACGAGAUCAGCCUCACCACGGGCUCGGCCAACAGCGACUUCAAGUUCCUCAAACCCUUCGUACCCAGCCUGACACCACAGCCCUGUGCCGUGGCCGGGGGCCCCAGUGAGGAACAGGUUUUCCCUUGUGUCCCUGUUCCCACAGAGGACGUGACACCGGACGAUGCUGGGUCUGUCUCUGCAGAACAGUUCAACCGUCUUUCCUUUAACUAGCAUGGGCACGGGGUCAGCAUAGGCAGAGGCUUCAUGCCUCGUGGUAGAAAGGGAUUCAGGCUGCAGCCUGUGGGAAUGGUUCCUGCAGAGGAAAUCUGUAUUUUCAAUUGGGUUAACCACAUUCUGGAAAAUUUUAAGUCAGAAUAUGAUUGCAUUCCCCUGGAAACCAACAAGCAAACGGAAUAAAGGGAACAUAAUCUCUUUCACUCAAUUAUUCAUAUAUUUCAGGUCUGUUAAGGCCAUUCCUGAGAGGCUUUAAGUAUCCUGUUAGCUCUCUCAGCUAAGCUCUUGUCUCUCUUGCUGUCAGACAAGAAAGUGGACCUUUAAUUCUGUUCUGUAACAGUAUGGCACAGAAAAUGAGACAGACAAACCUCAUCCUUGUUGAAAUGCACAAAGGCCUUUCCCCAGCUCAGAAGAGUAAGGAAAUUGUGAGUGCUGUGUCACAACCCCAUGUGAGCACCAAGCUCUUUCUUUCCUGCGUUCUGAAUGUCUCUGUCUGAAUCUGUGGGCUCUGUGCACUUCUCUUUUUUCACACUGUGUCAGUCAAUACAACCACUGUGUUUUUCCUAAUGUUCACUGGUGUUGCCCAGUGAAUGAGGUAAUUCCUGUCACUCAGCCUUUGCAAAGCAGGUAAUUCCAGCUCAGCAGGCAAGGAGGGUAUUUUGACCCUUUGAGUACAGAGGAUUCAUGUUCUUUAUGUCAGAGAAGAGCAGCAAAAUGCACAGUAAGAUCUAUACUUUGGCCAAUAAGAGGGGAUUGGGUGUUCUGUCUCCUUGCAAUACAGCAGCACAGUGUUGGGCACAAACAGUGUUG